Long non-coding RNA from Cercocebus atys (sooty mangabey), 1491 nucleotides. RefSeq lists it as uncharacterized. Lineage: Eukaryota; Metazoa; Chordata; Mammalia; Primates; Cercopithecidae. The transcript is spliced from 2 exons. The record is from RefSeq and is a predicted model, not a curated record.
CCUGACCUUGUGAUUCGCCCGUCUCGGCCUCCCAAAGUGCUGGGAUUACAGGCUUGAGCCACCGCGCCCGGCCGUCAAAUACAGUUUUUAAGGAAAGGAAGAGCAUCUUAGGAUAAACAGGAGCUGGAAAGGUGAGGGGUGGGAGAGUGCUGCAUCCGUGUGGCUGCCAGCAGUGCCCAGAUACCAGGCUUUGGGGAAUGAGUGGAUGGCAGGACCAUUUGCUAAGACAGGCGCCAGGGGAUGGGAGAAAGGAUGAGUUUUAGAAAGAUUCAAUGGGACUAGACUGAAUAUGGGCAGUUCGAUACUAGACUUUGGAAUUUAAAAAUAAUAUCUGGAGUUAGAAUUGAGAGACAAUAACGUGGAGAUGGAGGUCAGGCUGCAGUGCGGUGACAUCACCUAUGGAGCAUAUGAGGAAAAGAAUCUGGAGGAGGAGGAGGGGAGCCAGCAGGGGAGCAGCUGUGGGUUGGAGGAAGCCAGGAGGGAGAGUGCAAUGCCAAGAAAGCAAGGAAGAGCGUUUCAAAGCAUGUCUGCAGAACCCAGUACUGCGAAGAGCACUGGGAAUGGGAUUGCUGAGGGCCCUUCUCACAGUGAGUCCUUCAAGAGCAACGUCCGGAUCGUGGGGACUGUUGGCAGACUCAGCCGGCUUUGCUAGGUUGAAGACAAUGGGAGGUGUGGAAGAUUUUUUGGCUCAGUUAAAUAAGAUUGGAGGAAAAGGUAGGACUGAGAGUGUUUCAGACAGAAAAGGGAUUAUAUACUGAGGGUAAAGCACAAGUACAGAGGGUUGCAGAUAGUGCAGAAAUCUUUAAAAACAAUUAUUUUAACCCAACUUCCAGGGAGACUGAAUUUCUUCUGCCGGUCAGUAACACCAUCAACCUGGGAGUUGCCCCGACCCCUCCAGUCUUAGCUCCUGCAGCUGUAACAGAAUACCGCAAACUGGGUGGCUUAUAAAGAACAGACAUUUAUUUCUUACAGUUCAGGAGGCUGGAAGUCCAAGAUCAUGGUGCCAUCAUGGCCGGGUUCUGGUGAGGGCCCUCAUCUGGGAUGCAGCGGCCAGCUUCUCAUGUUCUCACAGUGGGUGGAGGGAAAGUCUCUCGGAAUAAAUGGUUUUUGAGAACCUUGAGUGUAUAUUCUAUGAAAUGGAAGGAACAAGAACUAGACAGAGUCAUAAAUGCUGUUGGUCACGGACAAUCUCUGCCAUCCAUAAGGUAAAUAUAAUACAUACGGCAGCCUGCUGAGUGUGAACUUGGCAGCAGGUGAGGAAGGAACUUUGAACUCUCACAAUCUUGUUUCUUCAUUUCCCAGAGAGAAACUCGGCAAAGAGAAAAGGGACAUUUCCUUCCAGAUUAUCUGAAAGAAUUUCAAUGCUUACCUUUAAUCACGUGACAUCUUAUUAAUAGAAAAGAGGUAUUUGUUCAUAUUUUCAAUAAAAAUUUAUAAAAUCGAGUUGGUAUAUAGUGCUAAAUAUCAUUAAUUAAAAAUAUUUUAACCUGA